CGGGCGGGCGGCGCGAUGUCCGGCGAGGACGGCCCGGGGGCGGGCCCGGGGGCGGCCGCGGCCGCGGCCCGGGAGCGGCGGCGGGAGCAGCUGCGGCAGUGGGGGGCGCGGGCGGGCGCCGAGCCGGGCCCCGGGGAGCGGCGCGCCCGCACCGUGCGCUUCGAGCGCGCCGCCGAGUUCCUGGCGGCCUGCGCCGGCGGCGACCUGGACGAGGCGCGCCUGAUGCUGCGCGCGGCGGACCCCGGCCCCGGCGCCGAGCUCGACCCCGCCGCCCCGCCGCCCGCCCGCGCCGUGCUCGACUCCACCAACGCCGACGGCAUCAGCGCCCUGCACCAGGCCUGCAUCGACGAGAACCUGGAGGUGGUGCGCUUCCUGGUGGAGCAGGGGGCCACAGUGAACCAGGCGGACAACGAGGGCUGGACGCCCCUGCACGUGGCUGCCUCCUGUGGCUAUCUGGACAUCGCCAGGUACCUCCUGAGCCACGGGGCCAACAUUGCCGCUGUCAACAGCGACGGGGACCUGCCCCUGGACUUGGCCGAGUCGGACGCCAUGGAGGGGCUGCUGAAGGCGGAGAUUGCCUUCCGAGGUGUGGAUGUGGAGGCAGCCAAACGGGCGGAGGAGGAGUUGCUGCUUCACGACACCAGGUGCUGGCUGAACGGGGGCGCCAUGCCGGAGGCCCGGCACCCCCGCACGGGGGCCUCUGCCCUGCACGUGGCCGCCGCCAAGGGCUACAUCGAAGUGAUGAGGCUGCUCCUUCAGGCCGGCUAUGACCCGGAGCUCCGGGAUGGGGACGGCUGGACCCCCCUGCACGCGGCGGCCCACUGGGGUGUGGAGGAUGCCUGCCGCCUGCUGGCAGAGCACGGUGGGGGCAUGGACUCGCUGACCCACGCGGGCCAGCGUCCCUGUGACCUGGCAGAUGAAGAGGUGCUGAGUCUGUUGGAGGAGCUGGCCCGGAAGCAGGAGGACCUGCGGAACCAGAAGGAGGCCUCCCAGAGCAGGAGCCAGGAGCCCCAGGUGCCUUCCAGCGGCAAACACCGAAGCAGGAGCUCUGUGUGUCGUCUGAGCAGCCGAGAGAAGAUCUCCCUCCAGGAUCUGUCCAAAGAGCGCCGGCCUGGGGGUGCAGGGGGGCCCCCAAUACAGGACGAGGAUGAGGGAGAAGAAGGCCUCACAGGGCCACCCUCUCCAGAAUCCAGAGCUCUCAAUGGAGUGUCUUCCCCGUCACCCCCUGGCCCUCAGGGCCCCAUGCCCCCAGAGGAGGCCCCCUUCUCCAGGCGCUUUGGCCUCCAGAAGACCGGCAGCUCUGGGACCCUGGGGCCCACAGACAGGCAGGGGGCCGAGGGCACCGCUGGGGCUGGGCUGCAGCGCUCAGCUUCCUCCUCGCGGCUGGAAGGCAGCUCCGCUCAGGCCAAGGAGCCCCGUCUGGCCAGAAUUACGCCGACACCCUCCCGCAAGCUGCUGGAGCCCUCCGCCUUGAUUUCGGAGCCUGAAUCCCCAGUGAAGCCCAGUGUCCCUGCAGCCUCCACAGCGCCCCCAGCCGACUCCCGGGACCGGCGGAGGUCCUACCAGAUGCCUGUGCGGGAUGAGGAGUCGGAAUCCCAGCGGAAAGCUCGCUCUCGUCUCAUGCGCCAGUCUCGGAGGUCCACACAGGGUGUGACUCUGACUGAUCUGAAGGAAGCGGAGAAGGUAGCAGGGAAGGCCCCAGAGCCAGAGAAGUCAUGCCUGCAGAGCCUGGACCCAUCUCGGCGACCCCGAGUCCCUGGGGUGGAGAACUCUGAUGGCCCUGCCCCGAGAGCAGAGGCGCCUGACGGGCAGGGGCAGGGACCCCAGGCCGCCAAGGAGCAUCGCAGAGUCGGCAAGGAGUGGAGGGGGCUUGCAGAGGGGGAGGAGGCGGAGCCGGCCGACCGCAGCCCAGACUCCAGCACUUCAGAGGGCGGCCCGUCACCUCGCAGGCAGCGGGACCCCGAACCAGCCUCGGAAGAGCCCGACGGAGGCUUCAGGAAGCUGUACUCAGAGCUGCGCAGCGAGAACGAGCGGCUUCGAGAGGCCCUGACGGAGACCACGCUGCGCCUGGCACAGCUCAAGGUGGAGCUGGAGCGUGCCACGCAGAGGCAGGAGCGCUUCGCAGAGAGACCGGCCCUCCUGGAGCUGGAGAGAUUCGAGCGCAGGGCCCUGGAGAGAAAGGCAGCCGAGCUCGAGGAGGAGCUGAAGGCCCUGUCCGACCUCCGGGCUGACAACCAGAGGCUCAAGGAUGAGAACGCAGCCCUGAUCCGUGUCAUCAGCAAACUCUCUAAGUGACUCUGGAGAAGGACCUUCCCCCGUACCCGUAUUUAUCCAGCUGCUUCUGCCACACGCAUCCCUUCCCCUGUGUGAGCACGAGUGACAGGGCUCCCAGGGGGUCUCUGAGAAGCCAUAGCCUCCCUUCGGGGCCUCCAGACUGUGAGGGGAGUACAGAGUCCCCAGGAGCCAAGGGGGGGCCCCCGAGGCCAGGAUGGAGGCGACAGGCCGAGCCAGAUGAGGAAGUGGAAGAACAGAGAGAAAGAGGCACGAUGGUGUCAAGUCACAGAGCAAGAAAGAGGCAUUGGCCAGACUGAGGGAGACCCAGGCAGGCUGGCCCCAGAGUCCGUGUCCUGAGUAAUUCUGGCCCAUGGUGCGGGCGGCUGGGGGUGAGCCUGAGCUACCGGGGCAGCUCUGACUGGCUUGCCUAUAGUACCUCCUAGAUUUCUAACUCCUCCAAGAAGGGAUUAUUAUUCUCGUUUUCUCUGAACUGGAGGCUCAGAGAAGGGAAGUCAAAAGCUGGGGGUGUGGGGUGUCUGGGUGGCUUAGUCGGCUAAGCGUCUGUUUAGCUCAGGUCAUGGUCC
Lutra lutra (Eurasian river otter) is the source of this 2858-nucleotide RNA transcript. It is a transcript of the gene named protein phosphatase 1 regulatory subunit 12C, with no coding region annotated. The record is from RefSeq and is a predicted model, not a curated record. The transcript is spliced from 23 exons. Lineage: Eukaryota; Metazoa; Chordata; Mammalia; Carnivora; Mustelidae.